Microcebus murinus (gray mouse lemur) is the source of this 960-nucleotide non-coding RNA. NCBI's taxonomy places the organism in Eukaryota, Metazoa, Chordata, Mammalia, Primates, Cheirogaleidae. The record is from RefSeq and is a predicted model, not a curated record.
UGCUUCCGUCUUUGUAUAAUAAAAUCCGUCAUGGAAUCUUAACAAGCUUGCCCCACUGCACUACCAAUUUCUCAGUAGCCAAUUCUGAGUUUGCGUUCACUUUCAGGCAUUUUAUCUGCCCUGCUCUGAGAGGUAUUAUUAAUCACAUCCUGUUGCUAGGAUACCUGAGAAUGUUCAUUUAUGUCCAAUGUUUCUUUGGCAAAAUGCACUAUGAAGAAGGCAUAGAAUCAUGACAAGGAAAAUUACUGUGCACAUGCUACUUAUUAAAAAAAGGGGAAGGAAUAACAUAAUCACCAGAUAAUAUAACGCUAACUCCCAUAAAUUGUUGAACGUCAUUUUUGUUUCACCUGGAUUUUAAUGGAAAAACACUGGCAAUAUUUUUGGAUAAUGAGAAUGUGUAGCACUUCCUGACUCCUGAGUUAACUAGAAAAAGUAGAAGGAGGUCCAAGAAUGUGUUAACUAAUAGAACACAGCAGAAAUUUUGCCAAUUUCUAGGAUUGGGCCUUGAGAAUCAGGCAGCUUCUACCUCUUAAGACUACAAAAACUUGCUCUGGGAGAAGCCAGACACAAUGUACAGAGUCAGACUACUCUGAGACCACCAUGCCAUAAGGAAGCUCAAGCUACCACACAUGGAGGCCACACAGAAAGAGAGCUGCCUGAAUAGCACAUGAUCAGCUCCCAGCUGUUCCAACCAUCCCAACUGGCAUCCCCAUUCCAGAAUGUGCAAAUCAAGUAACUACCUUUGAAGUGGAUUCUCCAACUCAAGCCACCUCAGCAAAUGCCAUAUGGAUUAGAGACAAACUGCCCAGUAUUACAAUGUUACCCUGUGUCCAGGUUAUUGAUCAAUACUACAGAGGAGACUUGCCAAUGAUCCAGCACAUCAGAAUUUAUAAACCAUCAACUGGGGUACCCAUUUGAAACAACAACAUAUAAAUAUUCAUCUAUGCUUCAAAAACUUUA